CCUCUUCCCACCUUUCCCUUUCUUUGGUCCCCCUUUGCUCUGCUCAUUCAUGGAGACAAACCACUAGCCCCCAAAUCUCCUAAAUCUUUCUAGUUGCUCUCUCCUGUAACUGUUGCAGCUCCGCCGGCCGGCUGGACGACUCAUCUUUCUUCAAGCCGCUGCAAGCACACAAGAAGAGGGUAAUCGGUUGUCUCCAUGGCCAAAAAUAAAAGAAAGCUUGCAACACUGCAUUCUUUUUUUGAGAAGAAAAGAAGAACUGAUGAUGUUCCAGAACAGAUUAAUUUGGUUGAUGCCCCUCCCUUGGUAGAUGAAGAAGAGCAAGUAAAUGAACAAGAACAAGUAGAAGAAACACCACAUUUCAACACAUUCGGCUUGUUCUUACUUUACCGGUUUCAACGGCAACGACAGAACGUGCAUUUUCUGCCAUGAAACUUGUGAAGACAAGGCUUUGGAAUAAAAUGGAAGAUGGAUUUCUAAGGGACUGCUUGCUAAUUUAUAUUGAAAAGGAGAUUGCUGUUGGAAUAUCAACAGAUGCAAUUAUAGAUGAGUUCGAUGAACCAUCACGUCGAGUGCCAUUUAGUUGAAGGCCUGGAGCAAGUUAGUUUCUCUAUCUUCUAUUAUCUAGAUUUUUCUUUUGUGUGAUGUACAAUUGAAAAAUUGCAUAUCCUCUUGUAUCAACGGUGAAUGGUGGUGUAAUGAAUGAAAAAUAUGCUAUUACAUCUUCUUCAUUGUUUUUUUGACCAAAAAUUUGUAUGGAAGUGUUGCUGCCUUCAGUAGGCCCGUGUUAUACAUUUUUCCUGGCUCCGCCACUG
This is a long non-coding RNA of Triticum aestivum (bread wheat), 812 nucleotides long. RefSeq lists it as uncharacterized. Lineage: Eukaryota; Viridiplantae; Streptophyta; Magnoliopsida; Poales; Poaceae. The transcript has 3 exons. The record is from RefSeq and is a predicted model, not a curated record.